Small nucleolar RNA from Gastrolobium bilobum, 102 nucleotides. NCBI's taxonomy places the organism in Eukaryota, Viridiplantae, Streptophyta, Magnoliopsida, Fabales, Fabaceae. The record is from RefSeq and is a predicted model, not a curated record.
ACUCCAUGGUUAGGGCAUAUUCACAACAACUCCUUAUAUCGCUCCCAAGCUUCAUGUAAACUUUCUCCAUCAAACAUAUGAAAAGAUGCUAUGUCUGCUCUU